This 253-nucleotide ribosomal RNA is filed under the name uncultured bacterium. RNAcentral describes it as "partial 16S ribosomal RNA". It matches the Rfam family "Bacterial small subunit ribosomal RNA", at positions 524 to 776 of the family's 1533-position model. The record is from RNAcentral.
UACAGAGGUCUCAAGCGUUGUUCGGAUUCAUUGGGCGUAAAGGGUGCGUAGGCGGCAGGGUAAGUUGGAUGUGAAAUCCUGGGGCUUAACCUCAGAAUUGCAUUCAAUACUGCCUUGCUAGAGAGCUGUAGAGGAGACUGGAAUUUACGGUGUAGCAGUGAAAUGCGUAGAUAUCGUAAGGAACGCCAGUGGCGAAAGCGAGUCUCUGGGCAGCAUCUGACGCUGAGGCACGAAGGCCAGGGGAGCAAACGGG